Molecule: non-coding RNA, 70 nt
Organism: Megalops atlanticus (tarpon)
Lineage: Eukaryota; Metazoa; Chordata; Actinopteri; Elopiformes; Megalopidae
Source: the annotation of a GenBank genome assembly
GGCAGUGUGGCGUAGGGGUAAGGAGCAGGGCUCAUAACCCCAAGGUUGCUGGUUCGAUUCCCCUCUCACG